UACGAAGGGGGCUAGCGUUGCUCGGAAUUAUUGGGCGUAAAGCGCACGUAGGUGGUCUGACAAGUCGGGUGUGAAAUCCCUCGGCUUAACCGAGGAAGUGCAUUCGAAACUAUCAGACUUGAAUACUCAAGAGGGUCUCGGAAUUCCCGGUGUAGAGGUGAAAUUCGUAGAUAUUCGGAAGAACACCAGUGGCGAAGGCGACUUACUGGACACAUAUUGACGCUGAGGUGCAAAAGCGUGGGGAGCAAACAGG
Molecule: ribosomal RNA, 253 nt
Filed under: uncultured prokaryote
Description: partial 16S ribosomal RNA
Rfam family: Bacterial small subunit ribosomal RNA
Source: RNAcentral